GGAGAUUCAUCGUCAAAAUAUUUGGUAUUAAUGCUAGUUAUGAUAUGGUAAAUAAUCCUUGUGGUUAGUAGUACUGUACAUUCUAUUAUUAUUUUUACCUUAUAUGUCGGCGUGCCCUUCAGUAGAACGUCGUGACCCAUUAAAUGUUGAUUUGUAGCCCGAUUGAUUGUCUCUUUCUGCUCGUCAGUUGGAGGUCAUUGGUGUUCCUUAAUCAACUGUUUGAUGGUAUUCGUAUGGUAUUAAGUCGCUACUUUAUUAGCGUUAAAUUCAUCACAAGUGCGGUUAAUAUUUGACAGUACGGAUUUAAUGCCGUCGUUAAAAUUAACCAACUGUUAGUUGAUGAUAUUCUUUAACUGACUUUAAUACCGGUCAACGACGCUACUGCUUUGGGUACUUUCAGGACCCGUCUUGAAACACGGACCAAGGAGUCUAACAUGUACGCAAGUCAUUGGGAUUUUAAAACAAACCUAAAGGCAUAAUGAAAGUAAAGAUUGUCUUUAGACAAUUAAGGGAAGAUAGGUUAUAUUACGAUAUAAUCUCGCAUUCCCGGGGGA
Molecule: ribosomal RNA, 554 nt
Filed under: Chelonus (Chelonus) sp. RK384
Lineage: Eukaryota; Metazoa; Arthropoda; Insecta; Hymenoptera; Braconidae
Description: eukaryotic LSU rRNA
Rfam family: Eukaryotic large subunit ribosomal RNA
Source: RNAcentral